Long non-coding RNA from Syzygium oleosum, 508 nucleotides. RefSeq lists it as uncharacterized. NCBI's taxonomy places the organism in Eukaryota, Viridiplantae, Streptophyta, Magnoliopsida, Myrtales, Myrtaceae. The record is from RefSeq and is a predicted model, not a curated record. The transcript is spliced from 2 exons.
UUGAAAGUCAUCAUAAGGUUGAAAGUCUCCUUUCUCUGAAUUUAUGAAUUGUCACAACAUGGUGAAAGCAUAAUCAUUUAAAGCACUACUAAUUGUAUCAGUUCUGGAGAAUGAUGUAAAGUUCCAUCAUACAGAAUGCACUACUAAUUGUAUCAUUGAUGAUGCAAAUGACAGUAUAGGUGAAGGAAGAAGACAAACUUCAUUCCAAAUAGCAUGCUAAAACAUUUAAAGCGUUCCUACCGCUGCUGCUAUAGAUUUGUCCUUAUACGAUCCUUGAAAUAACCUUAACAUGGCACCCGCUAUUAGGAAAUCUCUCAUUUUUUUAGAUGGAAAUUCUUCCAAUUGCUGUGCAUUUGAGAUGUAGAAUUACUAGCCUAUAACAAACAACUGAAUUCAAAUGCAAGGAGUUGAUAUUGUGAGAAAAUUUGAAUAAGUCAUUUGAGGACUAUUGCAUAAACAAAUGGAGUUAUGCGCAGUAUUAUUAUGACAGAAGAUUCUAAUAGAAAAA